This 341-nucleotide small nuclear RNA is filed under the name Myotis davidii. RNAcentral's name for it is "7SK RNA". It matches the Rfam family "7SK RNA". From Rfam's summary of the family: 7SK was discovered as an abundant small nuclear RNA in the mid-70s but a possible function has only recently been suggested. Two independent studies have found that 7SK RNA binds the CDK9/cyclin T complex (known as elongation factor P-TEFb). The record is from Rfam by way of RNAcentral. Lineage: Eukaryota; Metazoa; Chordata; Mammalia; Chiroptera; Vespertilionidae.
GGAUGUGAGGGCUAUCUGGCUGCGACAUCUGUCACCCCAUUGAUCGCCAGGGUUGAUUCGGCUGAUCUGGCUGGCUAGGCGGGUGUGCCCCUCCUCCCUCACCGAUCCAUGUGCGUCCCUCCCGAAGCUGCGCGCUCAGUCAAAGAGGACGACCUUCCCCCCCGAGGAGAGGACCAGUCUUGGGUCAAGGGUAUACGAGUAGCUGCACUCCCCUACUAGAACCUCCAAACAAGCUCUAAAUAGACACUUUUCAAAAGAGGACAUACAGUAAACCAAGAGACAUAUGAAAACAUGCUCAAAGUCAUUAAUCAUCCGAGAGAUGCAAAUCAACAUGACAAUGA